Molecule: ribosomal RNA, 476 nt
Filed under: uncultured Glomus
Lineage: Eukaryota; Fungi; Glomeromycota; Glomeromycetes; Glomerales; Glomeraceae
Description: SSU rRNA
Rfam family: Eukaryotic small subunit ribosomal RNA
Source: RNAcentral
AGCAGCCGCGGUAAUUCCAGCUCCAAUAGCGUAUAUUAAAGUUGUUGCAGUUAAAAAGCUCGUAGUUGAAUUUCGGGAUUAGUACGCUGGUCGUGCCUUUGGUACGUACUGGUGUUACUGGUUCCUACCUUCUGAAGAACCGUCAUGUCAUUAAUUUGGUGUGGCGGGGAAUCAGGACUGUUACUUUGAAAAAUUAGAGUGUUUAAAGCAGGCUCGCGCUUGAAUACAUUAGCAUGGAAUAAUGAAAUAGGACGUUUGAUCCUAUUUUGUUGGUUUCUAGGAUUGACGUAAUGAUUAAUAGGGAUAGUUGGGGGCAUUAGUAUUCAAUUGUCAGAGGUGAAAUUCUUGGAUUUAUUGAAGACUAACUACUGCGAAAGCAUUUGCCAAGGAUGUUUUCAUUAAUCAAGAACGAAAGUUAGGGGAUCGAAGACGAUCAGAUACCGUCGUAGUCUUAACCAUAAACUAUGCCGACUAGG